UUUUUGUAUUUGACCUGAAGGGACUUUUUUCAGCAGUGUGCCUCUCUAAUCCAACACAGUAUUUGCUGUUAUUUCUUCAUAUUUUGUAUAAAGCUUAAAAAACAACAACUUGUAAAUCACUCGAAAGCAGAUACAUUUUCAUAUAGGAAUAAUUUAAUGCAUCAUUAAUAAUUUCGUGUGUGAGCCACAUUGGGAAAUACAGUAUCUCUGACACAUCUUGGUAAAAUCAGUAGUAGAAUAAUAUGUUCUUAAAAAUGUCUAAAAUGUUUUUUGUUAAUAUUUAAAUUAGUUGACAGUGUCACCAUGUUGCUCUGUGUAUGAACUGCUGCCCAUAGACUACAGUAGAUUUUAUUGUGUGAACAAGUGCAUAGGUUUUCUUUCCUGUGUAUCCAAUGGCAGCACAAGACUGUAUAAUAAACAUGUGCGUUACUGGCUUUCAGCCAUUGCGAUGCAGUUUGUUGCUGCUGCUAACGGCCUGAACAUGGUGGCUGCAGUACAGCUGCAGACCUGUGAGCAGCCCCCUCACCCAAUUGUACAGGGUCAGAGAGUCCCUGUACUCAGCCACCAAUGAGAUUAAGUCCCUGAAAGAUCAGAUGAACAACCCUCUCCCCCCACAUCGUCAUACUCUUAUAUGUGACGCAUUUCCUGAAAGCCUCUUGCCGGUCGGAUUGGAAACGCGUAACCGUGGUAACCCGUGUGUCAACCUCACCUCUACUGGCAAUCUGCAAUAAUACUCUUGUAAAACAUGCUUUAUUUGGCUUUUACUUAAGUAUUAGGUUUCACUUAUGAUGACACACUGUUGUGGUUGCAAUGUUAACUGAGUUAACUAAGGAGCAAAUAUUAAUUAAACGGCUACCGUUAGAAACUUGAAUUGAAGUUUUAUAAUGUUAGACUUUACACCAGAGCUGCAUUGGUCGCUGUCCGCCAUUGUCUGUUGUGUUGUUGUUGUCAUCACUACUGCAUUGCAUUGUGGGAUACUUAUGCCGGCGCAGUGUCCAGUGCUUGCAUAUGGUAAUACUUACCGGAAACAGUAUGCAUCUCACGUACUAUUGGAUUCAUACUAAAGUUUUGGACAUACUAAAAAAAUACUGUUUCAGCAGACUCAAUAGUAUGUUAGUGUGGAAUUUAGGACACAGCCAUUGUACAGACAUUGAUGGUUCCCAGAGGAUGCAUCCAUAAUGGCUGUAUUGAUCCUCUGACCUAAUCUGUAGCCAUACAGGUUGAUAUUUGUGGUAUCUGGUGUCUGUGAUAACAUCAUACGAAGCUAGAAUAAGCUGGAAACAGAAUCAGGUAUUUGAUAUACGUGUGUGAUAUGGGCGACCUCUGACUUAUACAACAACUCUCUGAAAAGCACACUUGACAUAUUUUCAUCACAGACUUGUUUUAUGUGUUUAAGAAGGUGGGGUCUGGGUUAGUAAGUGGUAAAAUAUGAUUUGAGGGUUAGACCCUUAAAAACAUUUCAUAUUUUGUCGUCUUCAUUGUCUCCAUCUUUACUAUGACAAGCAGAAGUCUGUUGAUCCUCCCAACAAUUUAAAGAUAAACACUUACCCUGGGUGCCUUUGAUCAUUGUUUGAAUUUAAAAUUUUGGCUUUGAUUUAGAAUUUUAGAAGAAUUUUAAUUUCAGAACUUUGAGAACCGCCAUUGCCACGACGAUCGGAAUGUUGACACCAUCAUGUGUAUAUAAAUUUGCCUGUGCUUCUGUAGAAACUUCAUUCACAUUCGACAGAUUGAUCUAUCAACCUGUUUUUGUCAGUGCUAAAAAGAAGCCUUUAAAUACUCGACCUUCAGUGGAUACCUUCUGGAUACUAGAUAUUCAAUGGACACCCUCUGGACUACUCAGUAUUUCAGAGAUACUUGCUGGAUUUAGGAGCUGUCCACAUGCAACCGUGCUUUUGGAAUACUGUACAGAGUUAUUCUCGGUUAUUUUUAUUACACCACUUGUGUGGACGCAGAAUUUUAUUUAAUAAAACCUCAGUUGCAAAAUAAUCUGGUCUGGUGUGGACAGGGCCUUAGUGCUAUCGACGCAGGUCUUUCUGCUCGACAACCAAAACUCUGUUCCGGUUUUAAGUUGAGCUGUGAAACUUUGAUUUCGACGACUAAUCUCAUUCCAACUCUGAAAUAGUCACUGUGCUGCCAUGGACAGACGUCCCAGUGAAAAUAACCUGCCAUUGCAAUGCAGUUUGUUGCUGCCGCUAACGGCCUGAACAUGGUGGCUGCAGUACAGCUGCAGACCUGUGAGCAGCCCCCUCUCCCAAUUGUGCAUGGACUCUCUCGGCCACCAAUGAGAUUAAGUCUCUGAAAGAUCAGAUGAAAUCUCUGAUGACUGAAUCAACUUCAUCUGACUCCAGAAAGAGCUGACCGACAUGGAUAAAGCUCUAGAAAGGGACAAAACCUCCGCCCUUGUGCUCAGUUACACAUCACAGGAGUGAGAUGUGAGGUCAUGGAGAAAGGCCUCGCCCCAAACAUAUUCCUGCUGCAAGAGCAGGUGUUAACCAGCAGGCAGGUGGAGGUGAGCCAUCUCCAAAAGGAGCUUCAGUAAAAAACUGGUCUCCUCAGCAGGGAAAUUUAAAAAACGUCAUGCAAGAACAAAAGCCCACGUAGACACCCUGCACCAGCUGUCUCAAAUAAAUCCACAUCAACAAGAUUGAAUGACAGUGGAAGAGCAGGUGUGACGCUCUGGAAGAGAACCAUGUGUCCAACUUCACCCAGCCGCAGGAGCUCAACACCAAAGAGCAGGAGCAGCCGCCUCAUAUACCUCCAGAUGGGUAUAUGAGGUGUGUCUCUGCAGCAACGUGCCAAUUCGAAACUCUUUUCCCUGCCAUGUCUCUUUGGACAGCACCUUGUCAUGAAGGGCCACAUAGAGAACAUCUUUACUGAUGAGCUGUACAGUCAGUCGGCAAAGUCCAGCAGGACCGCUCCGUCCUGCCGAGAGGAGACAGAUGGGUGUUGUUUUUCCAAACCUAUCCUCGCCGUCCAUAGCUAUUAGCAUUAGCCUUGAAGGAGUUUUAUAUUUCGACUUCAAACCAGAUUUCUAAAUAGACUGCCAGUAACAAAAAGCAAGGUGGAAAUAUUUAUUAACCAAGUUUUGGUAAUAUUUUUUGUCUUUGACUGAGAAAAAAGCAGGCAGAGGAAGAGGGAGACCUGGAGAUGCUUGAACAUGUCACCAACCCUCUGCAAUCUCCUGUCAGACUCUCCAAGUUCUACCUCUCAAGACGCCAAGAGUCAGUGAAGAGGAGAGCUGAUGUAUCUGAACAGAAUGUGCACACACACACAGUUGAUGUUUCUUCAUUACAUUGCACAAAUGAAAAGAGAGAAGAUGCAAGACAGGCUCAAAGCAGCCAGACACAUUGGUAUAAUGACAAAUGGAUCGACCGACAGCUCUGUUAAUGAGGAGGACAUGGUGUACGUCAGAACAUGUGUGGCAGGCACAGUGUUCGUAGGUAUAACCGCAGUAGAUAAGGCUGAUGCAAAGAACACAUCACUGCCAUCAAGGGGAUAAUGGAGUUGGUGUGCUGUGACUGGGAGGACAAGGUGGUUGCCAUCUCCACAGACGGUGCAGCAGUGAUGGUAGGACCCAGGGGUGGUGUUGUCUCACGCCUUAAGGAAAAGACACCCUAGAGUCCAGUGUAUGGCACACAGACUUGAGCUCAGUUUCAAAGAUAUGAUCGAGAGCAUCAGCCUUUUCCAACAAGUUGAGGAACUGCUGUCAGGGCUGUAAUGGCAGAAGUUUCUGCCAUAACUAAUGCCAGACCUUCUGACAACCAUCUCUACGGAUGUGAGUGCUCCAUCAGUCCUUAGUCCAGCUGUGAUCCUCACCCAGAAAGUGUGUACUUCUCCUCUAUAUUGUUAAGUCAUGUUAUCGUUUUUGGGCCCCAAAAAGGAUCCUAACUGACCACAGAAGAGUUCGUUAAUGAGCUAAACAAUGAGGUGUGCAAAUGUCUGGGGACUGAGUGCAGCUUUUGUGCCCCAUAUCAUCCACAAACAAAUGGGCUUGUGGAAAAGUUAAAUGGCACAAUACAGAGGGCACUGUGCAAACUUGUUAACCAAUGUCCAGAGAGUUGGGAUACAUAUCUAGAUGCUGUGAUGUUUGGGCUGAGGACCAAAAAACACAUCAUAACAAAGUUCUUCCUCCUGUUUGGGACAGAGGCCCGCUUUCCAAGUGAGGUUCCAGAGGAUUACAAGAAAAGGACAAUCACCAACAGCUCCUGCACCAUCAACAGCCCCGGCACUUAUAAAUAAAGCUGCCUUGCCUAGGUGUGAAGGAUGCUUGGGACGGUCAGUGUCCUGCUAUCAAAAAUUGGUUCAUACAAGGUGUUUUACUGGGACAUUGCCCAAACAGCUUGAAGAUGUUCCAUUUCACCGUUGGACUACUUUGACUUUCUAAUUUAAAGUUAUUUCCACACUGCAGAUAGAUGUUACUGUGAGCGCAGCUUUUCCACACUGAAGCUGGUAAAGACAUACCUGCGUUCCACCAUGGAUGAUGACAGACUGAGCAAUCUGGGUGUUUUGAGUGUGGAGUCCAGGCGAGCAAAGUCCCUGGACAUGGAAGAUUUUGUAAAUCCCUUUAGUGCAAACCACAACAAUUGCAGAAUACAGCUGUUAGACUGGAUGUUGGAUGGACAGUGAUGCUGUUCAACUGGGUUCCGAUCAGGAGACAUACUUGGCCACUGAAUCACUUUCACCCUGUUCUUCAGGAAUCCAGCAGUGGCCUUGGAUGCAACCCAACAUAAGGACACUGCCACCACCAUGUUUCCCUGUAGGCACCACGCAUUUUUCUUUGUAUUCCUCACCGUUGCGACACCAUACAGUUUUGAAGGCAUCAGUUCCAAAAACAUCACUCAUCACUCCAAAGUAUAGAGUCCCAGUAGUCAUCAUCUUUGUCAGCAUGGGCCCUGGCAAACUCUAGACAGGCUUUUUUGUGCCUGGGCUUUAGGAGAGGCUUCCUUUGGGGACGGCACCCAUGCAUGCCAUUCAUCUGCAGUGUACGCCGUAUUGUGUCAUGGGAAAUAGUCACCCCAAGUUUGGCUUGCUCCUUCCUUGGAUAACUGCAGUGAACUUGCAUGCCGAUUUUCUUGGUUCCUUCUCAUCAGAAGACGCUCCUGUCGAGGUGUUAACUUCCGUGGACGACCUGGACGUCUCUGUGAGAUGGUUGCAGUUUCAUCUUUUGUACAUUUUUGUACCACUUUUGCUACAGUAUUCUGACUGAUAAGUAAAGCUUUGCUGAUGCUCUUGUAGCCUUCACCUUUGCGGUGUAAAAAAAUUAUUUUCUUUUUCAGGUCUUGAGACAUUUCUCUUCCAUGUGGUGCCAUUGCUAACAACAUGAAAUGGGAAGGGGUUUUCUACACCCUUUUAUAGUCAACUGUCUGCUGGACACCUGUGUAAUGAAUAAUUAGACUCACCUGUGGUUGAUUAUUGUUAAAUUAGACAUUUGUAGUCUAAAAUUCAGCCUUGAAACUUAAAAUUUUGUUCUCUAAGUUAUAUUAUUAACCUUACUUUCAUGUUAUAGGUUAAACAGAUGUUAUAUAAAACUUAGUCUUGUCAACAUUUUGGAAAUUGUUUUUGUGUUCAUUGAGAAAUUGUUUAAAAUAUUACUUUUCAAAUGGGGUGUACUCAUUUACGCUGAGCACUGUACGUUACAUUAAUGCCUGAAUAAAGUCCAAGAGCGUUUUUAUGAGUUCAUCCAGCUUCCAAACGCGAUCGCUGACACAGUCGCCACUGCAGUGUUGGAAAGGCUGAAGACUAUUCUUCCUGAGGGAUAACGGGGAAAACUAAUCGCCCAGGUCAAUGAUGGAGCUGCUGUGAUGAGAGGAGCCACAGGUGGCGUGCAGCACAAGGUUCACAAUGUUUACGGGAGUGCCCACUAUGUACACUGUUAUGCUCAUCAGCUGAACCUGAUAAUGCAGCAGCGCUUUUUUUUUUCAGAUCUGGAUGGAUUUGCAGCAUUUUUCUCCAGGUCAUCCAAGUGAACUGCUGUGCUUGAUAAAUUGGUGGCACACUGACUUCCUGGAGCUUCAACAACAAGGUGGAACCUUCACAGUCGGGCAGUUAACACCAUUUAUGAGCACAAGGAUGACCUCCUGAAGUGUUUUCAGACCACCAGAGAGAAAGGUAUGUGAUGCCAUUCUGAGGCAUGCCAAGGAGAGGUUCUCUUUCACUAAUCACCUCAUCAGUGCCACUCUGCUGCAAGGAGACUUAAAGAGGAUAAAAACAUUCCUUAGGAACAACAUGGCACAAGAAUGCCUGAAUGCACUGGCUAUGCUCUCCACGGAGAUUAACCUGAUACAGAACAUUCGUGACUUUAACACCAGUUAUUGAGAGGUUUGCUACAAAGAAAGACAGAAGAGCAAAGUUCAUGUAUAAAUAAGAGCACUCACUCACGAGCUUACUCACUUUAUAAUUAUUUGUAAAUGUAUAUUUAUUCUCAUAUUCAUUAUUUUUAUAUUCAUAAUUAUUUGUAAAUGUAUAUUCUAUGUAUUAUUUGUAUGUUUAUUGUUAUAUUAAUCACUAUUAUUCAUAAAUAUAUAUCUAUAACUACGUUUUUGAAAAUAUGUUUUUAUAUUUAUAUGUAUUAUUAUAUUUAGUUUUAUAUUUAUUAUUAUUGUAUUUAACUUUACCAAAUGCACUUCAAGUUGAGAGGUUCACCUGACAAAAAUAAGUAGAAGCAAAAUUCAGGUCUAUAAAUUGGAUUUCAUACCACAUGGAAAACUAAAUGAACUUACAAUUACAAUAAAGUAUCUUGAAUCUUUUGUUGACAGGACUAAGAUUUGUGAAAAAGCAGGCAAAGAAUUGGUAUUAAAAGCAAUCUGAAAUUGCAUCACAUCCCUUUAAUGUUGGCCUCUCAUCUCUUCUAACAAUAAAGAGAUGCUUUAUAGAUGCAAGCUCUGUGGCCUAACAUGGCUGAGACCAAAAGGGCAAGUGAAGGAUUCUCAUACUGUAUAUAAUAUAAAAUUCAAAACUGAAAAAGUCACUGCUGCACUAAUCAGCUGCAAAGAAGUCAAUAAUGUUGAUAUGUGCAUUUUUUAUUAGCUAUUAUGACUGAAAUGCAUUAAGAUCUUUGGAGCUCUAUUCAUUCUCUGUACUUAUAUCUCAGUCACUGUAUACAGUACAAACUUUAUUGAAAUUCCAAAACGCUCUGUAUUGCACACUGAUCAACUGUACAUAAGCCUGUUAUGAUGACAGUUUUAUGAGUUAGUACGUGUGUUAUAUAAUGCAUUAAAGCCUGAACACAUGUUGGGUGCUUUAAAACCAAUACUGUACAUUAUGGGAGCUGAUUUUUCAUAGGAGUCGUGAUGCCAUCCAUUUACAAACACUGACAGAUUAAUUAUCCAGUCAUCCAGUAGGCAUCGAUAUACAGAAAUCACAUGCACCUUCUUCAGGAAAUGCUCCUCUAGUUUCUCUGGAGGUUCUACACACACUGUACAAUGUUUACUGUAUCAUCAUGUGAAACGACUGCACAGUGUAUUCUGGAUAAAAGUCAGAUAACAAUCUUAAAUGAGGCCCCUGGAAAUACCUUCAGCUGAGGUGGUUUGUGCCACUGAUGCAUCGGCUAUUAAACAAGAGCAAGAACACAUUACACACACUGCCACAAUGCUAUGAUAACAAUGAUAUAAUAUGCAUUAAUAUCAAUGUAUAAACAAAUUAUACAAUGUCAAGAGGUGUACAUGGGGCAGAUCACAGCUUAAAUUAAUUUUCACAUCUACAUUUUUAAAUACCUAUACAUAUCAUUAAAAAAAAAAAAAA
Acanthopagrus latus (yellowfin seabream) is the source of this 7740-nucleotide long non-coding RNA. RefSeq lists it as uncharacterized. The record is from RefSeq and is a predicted model, not a curated record. Lineage: Eukaryota; Metazoa; Chordata; Actinopteri; Spariformes; Sparidae. The transcript is spliced from 13 exons.